This 861-nucleotide unclassified non-coding RNA is filed under the name Leishmania donovani. Its description in RNAcentral is "gene:LdHU3.27.0230(CDS-product:hypothetical_prote in_conserved)". The record is from RNAcentral. Lineage: Eukaryota; Euglenozoa; Kinetoplastea; Trypanosomatida; Trypanosomatidae.
CCCGAAGGUCAAGUGAAGCGCACAUGCUCCGUAGCUCUCUGCGCUACGGCGUUCACAAGGUGGGCUACACUCACCCUCACCACCUUCCGGUCCCAUGCGCGCAGCGUUGGGACCUCCGACUCGCACGGGCGCGCAUCUUUCAGGAGUACAUCGAGGAGAAGGCACCGGGUGCUUGGCAGUUGGAGGACGAGCGUCACAUGUCACCGGAGUUCAACACUUUCACCGGGUACCCAAUGCGCAACUUGCGGCCCGGCUACGGCCAGAACCUGCCAGAGUUCAUCAUGAAGAAGCGCUUACCGAACAACACGCACUACGAGCUCUUUGCCCGCCGCGACAUCCCCAACGAGGACAACGCCAUGUAUGGGAAGCUUCUUUAUGACAUGACCAUUCACGGCACGUCCUUGCCAUCGAUCUAUCGGAUGCAUAAGGACAUCAACAAGGCGCAGCGCAACGACCGAAAGCUGUCUGGCAAUCGCUUCAAAGUACUCAACUCUAGCGGUGCCAAGAGCCCGCCCUCUGGCUUUGAAGCGAUCCCCGAUGCUGUAGAGGACGAGGAUGAUUGAGAAGACCAGAAACAACCCCUCUCUUGUUGUUGAGGUCAGUGUGAGAUGCACCAGUGGCGCUGCUAUCUUUUCAUUUACGUCGCUGAGCCUGCUUUCCGCGGCUAUCUUUGUGGUGGCACGGUGCGGAGCUGUUAUGGGCGCGUGUGCCUUGUGUUGUUUUCUUCACAUCUCUUGCCGCGCAUUCGCAUGUAUGCGUGCCGUGUGCUUGCUGAUAUCCUUUUUUGCGUUCAUGAUGUGUGUGUGUUUGUGGCGAACGGUGAAAUGUUUAUUGUUAGGGCCGCACGGAUACAACGAUAGG